GCAAACUCAGGCUUUAGGUUGAAGUGUUAAAGUGGGGAAACGCUGAGUGUCCUUUUUAAGGGGAACUGCACUGUUUGGGGGAAUUUUGCCUACUGUUCAUUAUCCUUAUGUAAGGCAAGAACAUAUGUGUUUUAUGCAUUGUAAUUCCUGAAUUAAAAUCAGCUAAGAGUCAAUUGGUGCCCCUCUAUGGCGCCCAUAAAGCCCUCUAAAAUACAUUCAACACUCCAUUUACAUGUCAAGACCUGAAUAUUUACCAAGUACCGUAUUUUCCGCGCUAUAAGCCGCCCCGUGUUAUAAGCCGCACCUUCAAUGAAAGGCAUAUUUAAAAACUUUGUGAACCUAUAAGCCGCACCGGGUCAUAAGCCGCGCCCCCCGCUGCGCUAAAGGGAAUGUCAAAAAAACAGUCGGAUAGGUCAGUCAAACUUUAAUAAUACAAAGCAGUGUGCGAAUGUGCAAUCACAACAAUAGUAACACUCAAAAUAUUGCAGAGCAAUAGCAACAUCAAUAACUCAACUUUGCUCGAACGUUAAUCUCACAGCACACAAAAUAAACAUUUAAAGCUCACCUUCAGAAGUUAUUCCUCAUCCAUAAAUCCCUCGAAUUCUUCUUCUUCGGUGUCUGAAUUUAAAAAUUGGUCGAGGCGUUGAGGGGUUCCGGUUUGGUGGCCACGGGAUUAGGUCUCUGCUUUUUGCAGAUGAUGUAGUCCUGAUGGCUUCAUCUGGCCGGGAUCUUCAGCUCUCACUGGAUCGGUUCGCAGCCGAGUGUGAAGCGACCGGAAUGAGAAUCAGCACCUCCAAGUCCGAGUCCAUGGUUCUCGCCCGGAAAAGGGUGGAGUGCCAUCUCCGGGUUGGGGAGGAGACCCUGCCCCAAGUGGAGGAGUUCAAGUACCUAGGAGUCUUGUUCACGAGUGGGGGAAGAGUGGAUCGUGAGAUCGACAGGCGGAUCGGUGCGGCGUCUUCAGUAAUGCGGACGUUGUAUCGAUCCGUUGUGGUGAAGAAGGAGCUGAGCCGGAAGGCAAAGCUCUCAAUUUACCGGUCGAUCUACGUUCCCAUCCUCACCUAUGGUCAUGAGCUUUGGGUCAUGACCGAAAGGAUAAGAUCACGGGUACAAGCGGCCGAAAUGAGUUUCCUCCGCCGGGUGGCAGGGCUCUCCCUUAGAGAUAGGGUGAGAAGCUCUGCCAUCCGGGAGGAACUCAACGUAAAGCCGCUGCUCCUCCACAUCGAGAGGAGCCAGAUGAGGUGGUUCGGGCAUCUGGUCAGGAUGCCACCCGAACGCCUCCCUAGGGAUGUGUUUAGGGCACGUCCAGCUGGUAGGAGGCCACGGGGAAGACCCAGGACACGUUGGAAAGACUAUGUCUUCCGGCUGGCCUGGGAACGCCUCGGGAUCCCCCGGGAAGAGCUAGACGAACUGGCUGGAGAUAGGGAACUCUGGGCUUCUCUGCUUAGGCUGCUGCCCCCGCGACCCGACCUCGGAUAAGCGGAAGAUGAUGGAUGGAUGGAUGGAAUACGGCAUCCAAAAUGGCGGGCUCCGUCUCGUCGAAGUCAUCAGAGUCAGUGUCGCUGUUGUUGUCCGGCAGUUCCAUGAAUCCUGCCUUCCUGGCCGGAUCUUUUUUCAGCUAUCUUGUUUUUACAGUAUGCGCGGAAAGUAGCCAGCCUUUCUUGAAAGUCUUUUGGCAGUUGCUGUGAAAUAGUAGUCCGUGUGCGGAUGGAGAGAUUGCGUCUUUUCAUGAACCGGAAACACCAAGAAGCACCACCUUUUUAAAUCAUAUAAGUGAAGUUCGCUUGCUAGCGCUGUUGCCGUCAUUGGAAUAGUGAUGGUUCUGACACUUCUGCUUGCUGCUCUCUGUUCCAGUUUGUCCUCCAACUGUUGCCAUCUUGCUUUGUUCCCUCAAACUCUGUGUUGUCUUCUUUACUUGGCGCAGGUCAUCUUGUUGCUUCCUCCACCUAAGCACCAUUGAUUCAUUUAUGUUCAAUUCUCUCGCUGCUGCUCUAUUUCCGUGUUCUUCUGCGUGACUUAUUGCCUUGAGUUUGAAUUCUGCGUUGUACGCGUGUCUUUUAGUAGGGGCCAUUUUUUGGUCCUCUUUACAGAAACACACAAAUGAAAUGAAUCGGAUUAGCCGCGCGCUUCUUCACGGUGGCAGAGGGGUUAGUGCGUCUGCCUCACAAUACGAAGGUCCUGCAGUCCUGGGUUCAAAUCCAGGCUCGGGAUCUUUCUGUGUGGAGUUUGCAUGUUCUCCCCGUGACUGCGUGGGUUCCCUCCGGGUACUCCGGCUUCCUCCCACUUCCAAAGACAUGCACCUGGGGAUAGGUUGAUUGGCAACACUAAAAAAUUGGCCCUAGUGUGUGAAUGUGAGUGUGAAUGUUGUCUGUCUAUCUGUGUUGGCCCUGCGAUGAGGUGGCGACUUGUCCAGGGUGUACCCCGCCUUCCGCCCGAUUGUAGCUGAGAUAGGCGCCAGCGCCCCCCGCGACCCUGAACGGGAAUAAGCGGCAGAAAAUGGAUGGAUGGAUGGAUAGCCGCGCGCUUCUUCUUCUACGGGGGCGGGUGCUUGCCUUGGCGGUUGCGUACCGUAGAAGAAGAAGCGCUUCCUCUUUCCAGGUGGGCGGGCGCUUACCUUGGCGGUUGCGUACCGUAGAAGAAGAAGCGCUUCCUCUUCUACGGGGGAAAAAAGAUGGCGGCUGUUUACCGUAGUUGCGAAACCUAAACUCUAUGAAAAUAAAUCUUUAUAUUAAUAUAUAUAUAAGGCGCACCGGGUUAUAAGCCGCACUGUCACCUUUUGAGAAAAUGUUUGGUUUUUAGGUGCGGCUUAUAGCGCGGAAAAUACGGUAUUAGCAAUAUUCUUAUUAUAACUGAUUAAUGCUGCUCUAUUGACACAGUAAGCUGCUGCAUCGCCUCUGAGUUGGUAAAAGUUAAGUUUAGAUUACAAAUCAUCCCUCUCACCUGGGUAGUACCGUAUUUUUGGAAUUAAAAGUCGCUCCGGAGUAUACGUCGCACUGGCCGAAAAUGCAUAAUAAAGAAGUAAAAAAACAUAUAUACGUCGCAGUGGAGUUUUAUUCUCAUUUUUGGGGGAAAUUUAUUUGAUAAAAUCCAACACCAAGAAUAGACAUUUGAAAGGCAAUUUAAAAUAAAUAAAGAAUAGUGAACAACAGGCUGAAUAAGUGUACGUUAUAUGAGGCAUAAAUAAGCAACUGAGAAGGUGCCUGGUAUGUUAACGUAACAUAUUAUGGUAAGAGUCAUUCUAGGCGUGGCGCAGUGGGGAGAGUGGCCGUGCGCAACCCGAGCGUCCCUGGUUCAAUCCCCACCUAGUACCAACCUCGUCACAUCCGUUGUGUCCUUCACCCUUGCUCCUGAUGGGUGCUGGUCGGCGCCUUGCAUGGCAGCUCCCUCCAUCAGUGUGUGAAUGUGGAAGUAGUGUCAAAGCGCUUUUCGCUUUGAGUACCUUGAAGGUAGAAAAGCGCUAUACAAGUACAACCCAUUUAUUUAUCAUUUAAAUAACUAUAACAUAUAGAACAUGCUAUAUAUACCUUUACCAAAAAAUCUGUCACUCCGAAUCGAUAAAUCCCAUGAAAUCUUCUUCCUCGAUGUCGCUUCUAAACAACUCUGCCAACUCCAAAGGUAUGCGCCGCUUCCUCUUGUCGUUUUCUGCUGCGUAUUUCACUACGUCCAGCUUGUAAUCUGCAGUACAUGAUUUCCUUUUCGGGGCCAUUUUUGUUCAGCCCUUUUCAAUUUUUUAUAAGUUACCGCCAACGAUGAAGUGAUCCAUUUUAAUAGCUACGGCAGUAGCAUAUAGCACAGGGGUAGGGAACCUAUGGCUCUAGAGCCAGAUGUGGCUAUUUUGAUGACUGCACCUGGCUCUCAGAUAAAUCUUAGCUGAUAUUGCUUAACACGAUAAGUAAUGAAUAAUUCCGCUGGUAAUCAGUGUCAAAAAUAACGUUCAAAAUAUAAAACAUUCUCAUGCAUUUUUAUCCAUCCAUCUACGUUUCUACUGCAGCUGUUCAAGAAUUCGCAUUAAUGGCAAGAAGUAUUUUAUUUAUUUUUGGUUAGACUCAGAAUAACAAUGUUAUUAAAAAGAAGAAGAAACUUAUUAUACUCUAAAAAUGAUGGUCUUUCCUAAAAAUGCCCGCAUAUGGUUGUAUUCAGUGUUAAAAACACAAACAUUAUAUGGCUCUCACGGAAAUACUUUAAAAAAAUAUUUGGCUUGUAUGGCUCUCUCAGCCAAAAAGGUUCCCGACCCCUGAUAUAGCAUAUAGCAGUUAGCAUUCCAUGACCCACAAUGCACUUCUGCCAUGACCCUCCCCCGCUGAAUUCUUAUUGAUUGACGUGUGUGUGUGACGAUUGCUGAUAUUUUCUUGGUCUCUUCCGCGAAUGAGAUAAAUAAUAUUAUUUUACAUUUUACGGUAGUUUUUUAAUAAUUUCACACAUAAGUCGCUCCGGAGUAUAUUUCGCACGUCUGACCAAACUAUGAAAAAAACUGCGACUUGUAGUCCGAACAAUACAGUAGAAGAUUUUGGCCAUAAACCGAGAAGUUAGUCAUCUUUGACAUUCAAUUUAGAGCCCGAGAUGGCGAGAAAGAUUCAAAGAAAAAACGCUUUUUUGUGGCACUGACUGUUUUUCUUAAUUGUUCAUAAGUACUGUAUUAUGAUUAAUUCUUCAUCCAGUCGGCAUUUCAGUCACAGCAAACAUUGUACAGUAAGUGAUUGUUUUAUUAUACUUGUAUACCUUGUUUAGCAAUUAGAAAUACAGUUACAUGAUGCUUAGUGUUGCACUAAUGCUGAAUUUCCGUAGCACACAGCUUUUAAGAAAUUACAUCAUCCUCUUAACCAGAAUCAGACAUACUUUAUUUUCAGCAAAUCCCAUUCAAAAUCAGACAAACAUUACAGGGAGACAGAACAGGAUCGCUGACGGGUCUGCCAACUUCCGGCGCCCCUUACAAAAAAGGGGUCACGGUGGUUACUGGAGCCUAUCUCAGCUGCAUUCGGACGGAAGCCGGAGUACACCCUGGACAAGUCGCCACCUCAAUCACAGGGCCAAUACAGAUACAGUAGACAUUUGUCCCAAAGUAGUCUUUGUUGUCUUUCAUGAAGUCUGCCAUGAUCAGUAGUGGUGGUGUUGUUGAAGGUAAAGGUCCGU
This is a long non-coding RNA of Nerophis ophidion (straightnose pipefish), 5127 nucleotides long. RefSeq lists it as uncharacterized. The transcript is spliced from 2 exons. NCBI's taxonomy places the organism in Eukaryota, Metazoa, Chordata, Actinopteri, Syngnathiformes, Syngnathidae. The record is from RefSeq and is a predicted model, not a curated record.